AAAAGCCAAAAAUUAGAAAAGAAACUCAAAUAACCAACCGUUGAAUGUCGCUGGGUUGUAGCACUACGGGCUCCAGGUACUUUCUAAUUUCCUUUAUUUAACCUGAUUUGAGUCGUGAAAAUAGCCUCUGUGGUCCGGGCCAGCUGUAAUUUUGGGGGAUUGGAGGAGUUAGCAGCUUUGUUAGUUAACAGGAGGCAAACUCAAGAAUCUAUGUAUAGAUCACGCGACUCAAAUUCUUCACCUUGUUCAAAUUUGAUUGAGUUGUGAAGGGGAAUCGUUGCAAUGGACCUGAUUUCAAUUGAAUUUAAAGCUAAUGAUUAGAUGUUUUUGAUGAGAGAUGAGGGUUUACUGAUAUGUAGGUGUGAAAUCAUGAUGGUUGAAGGUGAUAAAAUGACAUGAGGUAGAUUUAUAAUCACAUGGAAGGAAGUUAUGUAAAUGAACCUCCAAUAUCUUGAAAUCUAUAUGAAAUUUGUGAUGAACGGAAUACAAUAAAUGCAAAUAAUCCAUAUAGGCAAUACGAACUGGUUGGAUUAAUAUAGUCAUUAUUCACACAUUUAUAUUAGAUCAUGCAUUUGAUAAGAGUCUAUGAAGUAUGUUUAGAGAUUGUAUGGAAGUGUAAGGAUACGUGCAAGAUUAGAGAAUCUCUAAUUUUUCAUAGAAAUACAAACAAUUGAAUGGUAGAAUGAGACGUCCCAAAUCCAAAAGAAUAGAUAUAGAGAAUGCAUAUAGCGCGCACCUCACUAGUUUGGAGUUGAGGUGUUAUUGUUAAUGUAAUGCUAUUCUUGCCUUUCCGAGCUGUCAAUAUAGGUCUUCAGAUAAAGGAUCCUCUGAAAUUCCUCCUUAUUUAUUUUGAAAAUACUGAUAAAAAUAAUGUGGUUAUAUAGGAUCCAAUAAUUAAGCAAAUCCCUGCAAGUCGUCACUUGCUGCCCCCCAUAUUCUCAUGAUAAUAUAUUAAUUUUAAGAUAGCAUUAGUUACAUAACUAAGUUUUUUACCCUUCCGAUGGCGAAUUACUCCAUAAUUGCAAGUUUAUGCGCCAUCAGCUUCUGCACAUGCAUGCUUCUUCUUCUAUUCGAUCUUGCAAUUUCUUAGGUUAACUGAAAAUGGUCUCGUCAAACCACAAUCUAUCUUAAAGUUAUCUAAUUGGCUCCCAUUCCAGCCUGACCUACAGUGUAGCUGUCGGAGUUUUGAUUUGCUCGCUUACAUUUUCUUUCGGAUUUCUAUCACUAACUUCAAUCAUAGUACAUGAGCUAUAUUUACAUUUGUUAUUACUUGGUUUAAGGAAAAUUUUGAGCUUAUCAUCAGCAUGUUUCUUAAAGAGCUCUCAAGUUUAGUGGUUAGGGUCAGAUUCAAAUUAUUUCAAGUCCUUUGACAGAACUCAUUUUGGUGUAACUUGCCACUUACUUCACCUCAUAUGAUUGCGUGGUGGAAUGGUCAAGACUUAAUUUUUAGCAACAACAGCUCAUACUUUCUGUCAUACUCCUCAAUUUCACUUAUGGUCUUUGAAAUAGUAUAGCACUUCCUUCAGCUUUUGAAGAAAAAUAUAAAAAGAAAGCUUUACAAGGAAGCAACUGAUUCUUGUGUCUCUUAUGCUUUUAAUGGAUAUGUGAAUGUAGACUCUAGUGCCAUUGAAUUGUGAGCUCGACAUUGUGCAACAAUAAGCUUACUAAUCAUAUUAUACAAUAUUAAAUGUUUCGGAUGCAAGUGAAGAUGAGGAAUAUAAUGAUGUCACUCCUUAAAGAUUCUCAUUUAAACAGUAAUAUACAAGCUACUUUCUCUGUGAUGGAUCAGAUGUUUAUCCUGCUACUUGAUACUCGUUGCCAUGUCUUCUUUCACUAGUUCCCAAUUUGUCACACAAUAAAAAUAAUUCAUGCUUUGGCUGCUGCAAGACUAUGACAUUUUGAGUUAUAGUUCAUAUUGUCUAAUAGGUCCCAUGCAAGCAUGGAAUUUCAGAGCUAGCAGUUGAGGUGUUGUUGAUAUUGUUGUUUAUUUUUAAAUAACAACAAGAUAGUAGUUGUACCAAAUGUAAUGAGAAAUCUCCAGAAAUAGAAGUGGUACACAAAAAGUAUAGAACUUGUAAUAAACAUGGUUAUAUAUGAAAGACAUGCAACUAUAUAUACUAACAGGAACCUAUAGGUGUAUCAAAACAAAGGGACAAAAACCAAACCCUUAUAUAUACAAGUUUUUUUUGAAGAGGGACAAAGCUAGCAGUUGAAUAAUUGGACAAACGAGUAGUUCAGUCAAUGCAACACAAAAUUGCUUGCCAAAUCAUUAUUCCCUAGGGUUGGAUCUACUUACAAAUUAGAGGUCGACAAAUGUGCAUGUUUCUUGCAUAUCCAUGUUCUCGUUUUGCACAAAUCAUUCUAAUAUCCCAGUUUCAAUUUCAACAUUUCUGCUGCAUUAAAUUCCUAGAAACUAGGCGUCCAUCAGUUAUUUUUUGUGACAGUGAAUACUUCCAUAUGAUGCAAUCUGAUUUAUUGGCUCAACUGUUUUAUACUAUAAUCUCUAGGGCAUUUGCUCUUUGUCCGUAUGAUGCAUGUUAUUCUGAACCCACAGUAGAAAAGAUUUGGCUUAUAUUGUGCUUGACAAACAAUUUUUGUGUCUAUAUUUGCCAAUUUUGUUCGAUGAUUUUUCAACAACGCUGUGCAAACCUAAACUGUCUGAUAUCCAGUGCCAUUAAUGGGAUUGGCUGGUUAUCUAGCCUGUUUGUUUAGGAAAAACUCUUCCACACCUAUAAUUUCACUUCGUAAAGUAUCCAUUAGCUUACCUAGACUGCAUAAAUCAACCAAGUUUAGACUGUUGGUUCUACCAAGGUUAGUUGGCUCUAAAAUGCUUCCCACUAUGUUUCUGCUUUCAUAGGUCUAAGUUUGUUGAUCUCAUGAACAUAAAUGUUUUAUUUCAUUUGUGGUUUGAUAAAAACUUCACCAAAAUGUGGCUCUAUGUGCACUCAUAAAAUUUGAAUGAGCUUUUUCCAUAUGCAAUUUGUCUUCGUAGUCCUCCUCCUGUGGCAUCUUACAACAUUAUGACAUCUUGCUUGGUCAAGUAUUAGUGCAGAUAUAAAACAUUUGAGACCUUAGUGUUUCAUGUCUAUUGCAUUAUUUUGAGAAAUAAGACUAAAGCAUUUAUGCUUUCUGGGCAGGAGAAAAAAAUGAGGCAUUUCAGCUUCUCUUUGGUCUGGUUAGCACAUUAGCCUUUUAAUGCAAGUUGUUGCUUCAAAGGUGCCCUUCAGGAGUCUCCACACAAAGUUUUAUGAUUUUGAAAGAUACAAGUCGAGCACAUAACAAGUAUGCUUGUCUAUCUUUUAAAUGAUUACUCUUAUUGUACUUGUAUAUGGUAUUGUAUAUGGUAUUACUGGAUAUGUUGAUUUUGUCCUUUUAUUAUUCCUUGUCUAGAUUGUUUUAUUUUGAGCCGGGGGUCUAUCGGUAACAGCCUCUCUAUCUCAUUUCUGAGGUAGUGAUACAGAUUGCGUACACUUACCCUCUGCAGACCCCACUUGGUGGAAAUAUACUGGGUAUGUUGUUGUUGUACUCUUAUUGCUUGAAUCCAGUUAGAAAGCGGGACGAAAUAACUUUGAACUACUAGAUCAGGUUGAACUUGUACAAUUUGUAGGUCAACAUUAAGAGAUUUUAAGGACAACUGGCACCUUUUGCUCCUCAAGCUACUGCUUAAUUUCAAACCCUGGAUUGUUGCACUUGGCUGGUCUUUAAUUUGUUUAGAAGGAGACAGUCUGGUCCUUUUUGGUAAUUCAAUCAACCAAUCUGACCCUUUUUGGCAAUUCAAUCAACCAAUCUUUUUAAGAAUCCCAUAAGUUCCAGAGUCUUCCAACCCUUUCUUCUUUUGCCCAUCUCUCAUAUCCUUCAUAAUCCAUCAUCAGACCUUGCAACCCCUUAUGCACUCCUAACUCUGCUCCCUACUUCUAGCAACCUUGCUGUUUGCCUCAUACACUGCAUUUCUCCAUGCAUUCCCCCUGGUUGGGAAAUGGCGCUGCAGCAUGUGCAACAGGAUGAGGAAGAAUGCAAAUGUUGCGGGUACUUAAAGAUGGGGUUGCAAGGUGCAGGGGAAGGUCAUAGAGCCACUUAGUGGUCAUUUAGAUGCCACUUACACACUGACACCUCCAUAUUAUUAAUACGGUGCAUCAACAGUACACCAAACUCUGGUAAUUUACCACACCUGCCUCAAUGUUGUUAAAAAUGUCUUUCUCACAGAUUAAUUUGAGUUAGUUCUUUUUUUCCAAUUCAAUUUUAGGUAAUUACCAAAGUGGGGUUCAUAUAUCUCUAAAAUUAGAGAUGGCAUACUUUGUCUACCAUUUGUCCUAUCUCUAUAUCAACUGUAGCACUAAUCUCGAGAUCAUAAUGCAGCUGUAUAUCAAUACUUUAUAAUGCACAUAUUAUCUUCUCUUUGCAUGAGAUGAACCCUUGGAGGGAUAAUCAUUGAAGCUAAUUGUUGUACAAAUUUUAUUCUGAUUUAGUUGUUCCAAUUAGAAUGAAAAUGUAAAGCGCUGGAUUUUGUUUUGCUAAGUAUUACUUUUUCGUUCAGGCGCUAAGAUGAGCACAAGGGCAUUUGAAAGGUUAAAAAUGUGUAUGACACCUAAAUCUUAUGCUUAAGAGGUUUUAUGGAUGUUUAUAAUAAGGAGGAGUAAACUUGGCAAAAUUUGGAAAUGUUUGACGAAAGAAAAUGAUCAUAGUCGCACUUAAUCUAACUUCAAAAGAUCAUAUCUCCCUACGUAUAUUGAGUUGAGCUUUGAGAUAAAUGUCAAAUUUAAGCCCUUGACGUCUAGUUUCCGGAACAUCAAACCGUUCGUUAAUCUGAGUGUAGUAAGUUAUGACUGUUUUUCCAAAGGGUGAUUGUGCUGUCACAUGUGGGGCAAUGGUAGGGCGAAGCAUAGCCAUAGCACCACAAAAUGGAGGAUUCUAGAAUGUAUGAGGGCGAUAGUGGGGCGACUAGCAAGGAUCCCCAAGCCCAAAAAACACAGAAGUCUGGGAAGGUUUUCCCAAUCAUAGUGUAACAUAACCCCUGCAAUUUUUGAAGAGUUUUUCCUCUAAGGAUCUCUUACAACAUCUAAGAUCAGUUUCCUACCAUCAAAUUGAGUUUAAGCUAUGAUAUUAACACUGAUAGGUUCCUUUAAUAUCGAGUAAAGAUUUUAAAGUGAGAUCGCCUAAAGAGCAAGAAUUAGUAGAAUUGCCCAUAAACAACUUUCCCAAGAGUUACAAGAACCCUAGAUUUUGAGAAGAAGAGAGAAAAGAGAAGUUUACUGAUAUUUCUUAAUCCACAAAAACUGCUUACAAUUGAGAAUGCAACUGUUGCUUUAUACAGGGGAAUUUCCAGAAGUUAGUUAUAACUAACUUUCACCUAACAGCUCCAACAACUUUAACUAACUCCCUCUGUCACGUGCUAGUCAUGUGACUAUUUAAUUCCUAAUUACAAUUGAUUAAAUCGGAAAGAAAAUUACAAAAAUCACUAGAGUUGUAACAAUACUCCCCCCAUCACAGCAUCCAUGUCCUCAAGGAUGGAAAUCUGGAAACUGCUGGCAGAUAAUGUGGUAAUCCUCCCAUGUACUAUCCUCCGUAGGAGCAUUGAACCAUUUGAUAAGCCAUUGUGAAACAGCUCGACCUCUCUUUUGCACCAUCCUCGUAUCUAUAACAGCUUCAGGUACUAGCAAAACGGACCCUCAACUAGAGUGCACCACAGGGAAAGUAACAGAAACUGGAUGGGAUCCUACCUUCAAUUUCAGUUGUGAUAUGUGGAAAGUAGGGUGGAUUUUAGCAUCCGCAGGCAAAUCCAGUGUAUAAGCAACCUUCUCCACCUUUGCAACAAUUUGGAAAGGUCCAAAAAACCUAGCCGAGAGUUUCUGAAAAGAGUGAGACUUGAGUGACGCUUGUCUAUAAGGCUGCAACUUAACGUACACUCAAUCACCAAUGUUGUAGCACUUGUCAGUUCUUUCUUUAUCAGCUUGUACCUUCAUUCUACUUUGGGCUUUAGUCAAGCAAGCCUUGAUAGACCUCAAAGUGGCCUCUCUAGCCACCAAGCUUCUGUCGACAACAUCCAAUUGAGAGUCAAGUGGUAAGUAAGGCAGUAGAGGAGGUGGUGGUUGACCAUAUACAACCUCAUAAGGAGUCAUCUUGAUUGAGGAAUGGUAAGUGGUAUUAUACCACCACUCAGAUAAGGGUAACCACAUAGGCCACUCUUUAGGUUUCUCAAAUGUCAUGCAUCUCAAGUAGCAUUCUAAACAUCUGUUAACCACCUCAGUUUGCCCAUCAGUCUGAGGGUGGUAUGUAGUGGAUGUCAACAAAGAGACCUUCUGAAGAGCAAACAAUUCCUUCCAAAAUCUGCUAGUGAAAACAACAUCUCUGUCUGAAACAAUGGGCUUAGGCAUGCCAUGCAGCCUAAAAACUUCAUUCAUGAACAACUGAGCUACAUCCAAGGCUGAAUAGGGAUGUUUGAGAGGCAAAAAGUGAGCAGCUUUUCUUAACCUAUCCACAACCACAAAGAUCACCCUUUUCCCAGCAACGGGAGGUAAACCCUCAAUGAAAUCCAUUGAAAUAUCUUGCCACACACUAGUAGGAAUGGGUAAAGGUUGUAGAAGACCUGGAUAAGACACAUUUUCCGCUUUGCAUUUUUGACAAACAUCACAGUGUCUGACAAAGUUAUACACCUCUUGCUUCAUCUUUUUCCCAUAAAAGCCUUGCCUCAAUCUUUGUAAAGUGGCUUUGAUCCCUGAAUGACCUCCCAGGCACUCUCAUGAUAGAAAACCAUAAGUUUUAUUCGAAGAGCUUCAUCAUUCCCCACCAUUAACUUGCCUUUCUUGCUUAAUAUACCAGUUUGAUAUUUGAGGUAAGGUUUGUGUGGUAAACAGCUUGAAUUGUUUGAAUCAACCUCAUGAGUGCAGGAUCUAUCAACCACGAUUGUUUAACUUCUUCCACUGAACUUCGGAAAUGCUGUUGAGUUGGAUCAAACUAUCCUUCCUGGACAAGGCAUUAGCCACAGUGUUAUCUUUCCCUUUCUUAUAAUCAAUGGUAUAGUCAUACCCUAGCAACUUGACCAACCAUUUUUGUUGACUCGGAGUAGUAAUCUUUUGUUCUAACAAAUAUUUAAGGCUGUUAUGAUCAGUCUUGACCACAAAAUGCCUACCAAGAAGGUAAGGUCUUCACUUCUGAACUGCUGAAACCAAAUCAAGUAGUUCCCUUUCAUAGACUGACAGAGCUUGAUUCUUAUCACAUAAGCCCUGGCUAAAAAAAGCAAUUGGUUUACCUUCUUGAGUCAACACUGCACCUAUGCCUCCAUCUGAAGUAUCCGUCUCAAUGACAAACUCUUUGGAAAAAUCAGGAAGAGUGAGUAUUGGUGCUGAAGUGAUACUAGUUUUGAGUGAUUCAAAUGCUGUAGUGGCCUUCUCAUUCCAUGCAAACUUUCCAUUCCUUAACAAAUCAUGCAAGGGCCUCGCAAUGAGGCCAUAGCCCUUUAUAAAUCUCCUAUAAUAUUCGGCCAACCCCAGGAACCCUCUUAAUUGUUUAAUAGUUGAUGGUAAAGGCCAAUUCACCACUGCAUCUACCUUGUGUGGAUCCAUAGCUACCCCUUGUCCAGAUAUAAAAUUAGCCUAAAUAAUCAAUCUGAGAAACUCCAAAAGCACACUUGCUUUGUUUGACAAAUAAGGUAUGAUCCCUCAAAAUUUGAAAAGUGAUUCUCAAAUGAACUAAAUGAUCAGACAUUGUAGGACUGUAUACCAAAAUGUCAUCACUAACACUGAUAGGUUCCUUUAAUAUCUUUAAAGUGAGAUCGCCUAAAGAGCAAGAAUUAGUAUAAUUGCCCUUGAACAACUUUCCCAAGAGUUACAAGAACCUUAGAUUUUGAGAAAGAAAAGAGAAGUUUACUGAUAUUUCUUGAUCCAUAAAAACUGCUUACAAUUGAGAAUGCAACUGUUGCUUUAUACAGGGGAAUUUCCAGAAGUUAGUUAUAACUAACUUUCACCUAACAGCUCCAACAACUUUAACUAACUCCCUCUGUCACGUGCUAGUCAUGUGACUAUUUAAUUCCUAAUUACAAUUGAUGAAAUUGGAAAGAAAAUUACAAAAAUCACUAGAGUUGUAACAAACACCUUAAUUACAAGGAAACCUUUUCAACCCAUAGAUUUCAAGAAAAAUCGGCAACAAGUUCAAAGAAUGAUUUUAACUAAGUUCUUCGAUGAAGUAAGUCUUACAACACUAUCGUAUUCAAAAAUCGAUUAUAAGUCUUUGAACGAUUCUAGUAUACAGAAUCACAUUAUAUAACUAGAGCCACCAUCACCUUGGAAAGAUUGAAACUUGAACCUAGGGUUCUUGAGAACUAACAAAGAUCAUUAAUGGUAUACCUAAUCAUUACCUUUGGUGAUGAAAUUCAAUGUAGAUUCAGAAUGUUUUUGGUGAUUAUUGAGUGACUUUGUUAUGAAUUUAACCAAGAUGGAGGUCCUAUUUGCAAAGAUGUCAAAUUACAUUUGGGACCUCGGGAAGAUGUUUAUAUAUAGUAGAGGAAUAUAAUCUAUUAGAGGAAUGUUAUGAAGUUGUCUUUUAUUUUCUUAGUAGUUUUAACAUUCUGAAAUCUCCCUUUUCUAUUUUCCUUUUGUUUCUAUGAUGAAUUCUUAUUUCAAUGUAUGUGAAUAUGAAUCUCCUUACCAAUAUGAUUCCCCAUCGUUACAAUGGUGCUUUCAUUGUCCCUCCUUUACCAAAUGGGUAUCAUCUUCCUUUCAAACUCCUCCAGCCCCAUACAACCAGUAAGAAUUACUGCCCCUUCAUCACCGAGCCCCACUUAUCCACCUCCAAUUUUGGAGAAGAUCUUCACUUCCCUCAAAAUCGUGCAGGAUGCAGUGGUAGAGUCGCAAGAACGUAGCAAACGUAUCCUCUCAUCUAUUUGCCAUGUGUGAUCAGUGUUGCAGGAGGAGAUGCAAUCGAACUCCACUUCCAUUGAUGCUCCAGAGAUUUUAAAUGCUAUAAAUAUCACCUCUGUACAAGAGUCAACUUACGUUGAUAGUAACGCCGAGGUGGCUGAUAUGGUGAAAUCCCAUUUUGAUUCAGAGCUUCCUGUUCUUGGUGUUGGAGAUAAAAUACCGCAAUACGUUUUUCCUGACGUGCUGUCCAGUGAUUCUAUUGAUGCUACCGAGCUCAAAUUCUCACCUCUCUUUCUCAGUUAAGGGAUCACUAGAGUUUGACUGCAAGGUGUUCGAUGGAGUGCCGAAGAGGGAUAUUUCUGCAGAAUUUCAUAGUCCUAGUGCACCUAUUGGCUCGCUUCCACCUGUUUUGAGCAUUAAUGAUUGCAAGUGGGUGGAUACUGGGCGGUUAAGUGAUUCAUUUGACAGGCACUAAUACAACCAAAUUAAGCUCUUAGGUUGUGCUCCUCUUUUGAUUAAUCGUUUAAGUUCCUCAUCAGAUACACCUAAACUGUUCGAUAAACUGGCUGAAAGAAGUAGAUGGCUUUCCAUGUUGCAUGACUCUGAAUAUAUAGGUGAGGCCGCCUAAACUGUUCGAUAAACUGGCUGAAAGAAUUAGAUGGCUUUCCAUGUUGCAUGACUCUGAAUAUAUAGGUGAGGCCGAAGUGCUAAUUGAAUGCAGUGAUAAUCUUAUAAGUUUUUGUAAUUCCUACAAGCUAUUGGGUAUAUCUCUAGAGAAUUCAUUUUUGUAUUUUCUUGAUCGGGCUGCUAUUUCUCGUGUGGAGAGGUACGCAAUUAAUCAAUUCAGGCAUGUUAGGGCCAACUGCAAGAGGGAUAUUAGUAUGGAGAGGUACAUAUUCGAGAACGCAAAUGUUUUUAGUGGAAAUUUCAGAUCUUAUAUAUAUCUAUUGUCUGAUAAUAUGGCACGUGCAACAACUUUAUCUUUAUUGAUUGAGCUUUGUUCAUCCGAACAAGUAGAACCAGGCUUGCCUCUUCGGUUGCCUUUCGACUUUAGGUAUAAGAUUGGAAAUUUUACACGGCAAAUAAAUCUGGAAUUGGUGAUUUCUCAGCCUGCACGAAUACUUGAAUGGAUUGAUUCUCUCAAGGGUUGGACGUCACUUUCGCCUCGACAAGAACAAGUUGAAGGAAUUUCGAUGCUUGUUGGUCAGAUUGAAGGAUUGUCUGACUAUGAUUAUGACUCAUGCGUGGUAUAUGUACCUAACAGCAAAUUCUUGUCAAGGAAUGGCCCAACACAUGUCAAAUAUUGGGAGAGAUAUACAGGACUCGACUUAGUGAAAGGGUGGAGGAAACAUCUUGACAUAAUACUUCCAAUAUUAGUGACUUCUAUCUGGGUAACUUAGGGAGCAUAUAUUAUGGCCUGUUUUGUGGAUGGUAAGAUUUUAAAAGCUACAGUGCUACAUAAUGAGAUGGUUGUGCAAGAAAUUAAAUCAAAUAUUGUGCUAUGCACCAAUCAGAUUCAUGAAUUUUGCAAUGAAUAUAUGCCAUUGGAAGCUGGUUUUGUGUUGGUUGCCGGAAGUACUUGGCUCGAGGUGCAACCUUUUUCUUAUUCCUCAACAGCUUUUCUUAUUUUUAUCAGGUUUUCAAUCCAUACCUUUGAUCCUGGUAUACUCAAUAUCCAUAUAACUGAUGAUAUGGACCUGGCCAUGCAUACACAUACUAGUACUCCUGCUACUUAUUAUUUAAUUGCUAUACUGGGGCGCGACCGAGUACAUGACCCUAGAUAGGAAGGUCUGGAAGACGCGAAUUACGGCAGAGGAUUAGGGCCAGUUUGGGUCGCUAGUGUAGGUAAUUACUUGAUGGGGGUUUUAUUCCUGUUAUGAUUCCGCAUUCCGUGUUCCAUGUUUAUUACGAAUCUGUGUGCUUCCCUCUGCUUUCCUCUGUUUUAUAUUCCUUAUGGGUGCCGUAUUUAGGUUAUGUAAUCUGCUUCUGUGCUUUACUAUGUGUUUGUGUGGUAUCUCGUGCCUUGAGCCGGGUCUUUCGGAAACAGCCUUUCUACUUCAUCAGAGGUAGAGGUAUGGACUGCGUACAUCUUACCCCCCCCAGACCCCACUAGGUGGGAAUACACUGGGUUUGUUGUUGUUGUUGUAUACUGGGGCGCGAGCAAAUUGGUGGCCUUGUGAUGGAAGAAGUAGGCACUGAUGCAUUUGUAAAUUUUGAUAAAAUGACCAAGUCCAGUGCUCAAGUGUUCUUGUUAUCUGAAACGGUGAUGUUUGACAUUCACAAAUCAAAUGGUCCUUUGUCUGUUGUAGUUAAGAAGUGCAUUUUGAUGUUCUUUGAAAUAUCAUAGAAUAGAACGGAACACAACAAUUUGUAUGAAGCAAUUUCCAAGAACAUCCAGUUCGGUAUCCUUCUUGCAACAAAUAGUUUGGCUCUUAGCUAUGUGGUUCUUGAACACUCAAUAAUGGACUUAGUCGCUAAGCUUGCAGUUGGAUUGACACAUGUUUUUGGUCUAUCAAUGUCUCUUUCAUAUCUUACUGUUGAUGUUGUUUCUCAUAUACUCAUCUUUGCCUACACAACUAUUCUAGUAAUUUUCAUAAAGACCAAAUACUCCUUCCAAAAUAUCACAGUAAUGCAAGAGUACGUGAAGGACCCAAGCAAGUUUACUACGAUUACUCUAGCUCCAGUUCCUGCUACUUUUUGUGACCCUUAUGGUACCCAGACUUGGCGCAAACCACUUGAGACUACUGAUGCAGAAGAAAAGGAAAAGCAAUAUUCCAUGAUUAGUAGUAAAGAUGUCUUGACCCAUCACCCUCGUUGCCAUGUUUCUCAGUAUAAGUUUCAUUUUUGCAAAGCAGAAAUAUUUGUGGAGAAUUACUCCAGAUCUUGGAAUCAUUUUUCAUCAUUUAUGUGCACAUGUAAUUGGUGGCACAUUAAACUUUCUUAUCUGGAGAAAACAUGGAUGCAACUCUUGUGGCUUUUAAAUGAUGCUUUCCCUUGGAUUUCUAGUAAGUUGGUUUGGAAAGUGCCUAUACGUUGGGGUGCUUCUUGGAUUACAGAGAUCCUACAUGUGCUAAUGCCACCAAUACAAACUGCUUUAGAGGAAUCUGAUCCAAAUAUUAACAGUGAUCUUAACUCAAAGCUCCAUCAAGUGUUCAAUGUUUGCCCUUUGGUUCUACCAUCCAAGGAACUCUUUGGUGAUUAUCUUGUUAGAUGUGGAUGCAUCCUCUAGUUUGAAAAGCAAAAAGAAGGAUCAAUAUUGGAAGUUGCUUUGGAUAAUGAAGCUUUUGAGGAAUUCUUUUGGGUUGUUAACACUGACAAAGAGGAACAUAACAACACCAUGUCUCUGUACGACUAUACUCGAACCUUGAGGACAAGGUUCUUAUUGAGGGUGGGAGAAUUGUUAUGAAUUUAACCAAGAUGGAGGUCCUAUUUGCAAAGAUGUCAAAUUACAUUUGGGACCCCGGGAAGAUGUCUAUAUAUAGUAGAGGAAUAUAAUCUAUUAGAGGAAUGUUAUGAAGUUGUCUUUUAUUUUCUUAGUAGUUUUAACAUUCUGAAAUCUCCCUUUUCUAUUUUCCUUUUGUUUCUAUGAUGAAUUCUUAUUUCAAUGUAUGUGAAUAUGAAUCUCCUUACCAAUAUGAUUCCCCAUCGUUACAGACUUGUAGCAGGUAGUGUUCAAAAGGAAGAAAUCGAGUUGAGUAACAACAAUGCUUUUACUAAAGUUGUCUCCUCACAAAAUUCAUAACAUGUAUUUUUAGGUAACGUGUUUAUAUUGUUAAUAUGAGUUUGAUUGGAGCGGG
Molecule: long non-coding RNA, 12649 nt
Filed under: Capsicum annuum
Lineage: Eukaryota; Viridiplantae; Streptophyta; Magnoliopsida; Solanales; Solanaceae
Description: long non-coding RNA (CANN_LNC006252)
Source: RNAcentral